UGUGGGCGUCGCUCCUACACCUCCACGGACUGAGGAAAACCGUGACGAUAAUCGAACCGCGGAUCAAGCGACGAAAACUGUUCGAAAAACUCGAUUUGGGAUUCCGAGCGCUGGAUAUCGAUGACGUGAAAGGCGAGGAAUUCGACCUGGUGAUAGACUGCAGCGGUGCUGGUUCCGCAACGGAGACAGCUUUGACAUCCCUCGGUAGUGGAGGUCGUCUUUGUUUGGUCGGCUCUACAAACCCUCUGGCAGAGAUAAAAUUCAAACCGUUCCAGGCCACCAGGAAGGAAUUUUCUAUAAUUGGGGCGCACAUCAAUCAAUUCACAUUCGGAAGGACAUUGUCUCUGAUAACAGCGAUGGGUGACACGUAUCUCGAUUAUGAAAAGCUUGGAAUCGGUGUCUACAAACUUUCACGGUACGAAGAG
Molecule: unclassified non-coding RNA, 425 nt
Filed under: Athalia rosae (coleseed sawfly)
Lineage: Eukaryota; Metazoa; Arthropoda; Insecta; Hymenoptera; Athaliidae
Description: misc RNA ENSAEAG00005003292.1
Source: RNAcentral